Aegilops tauschii subsp. strangulata is the source of this 2639-nucleotide long non-coding RNA. RefSeq lists it as uncharacterized. The record is from RefSeq and is a predicted model, not a curated record. Lineage: Eukaryota; Viridiplantae; Streptophyta; Magnoliopsida; Poales; Poaceae.
UGCUGCAUAUACACGUUUGCUAGUUUUUUGUUACGGAACAUAUAUCAAAUGUUCAUUAUUUCUUGAAUUUUUAUUGUGUUUGUUGGGCAUUUAUGGGGAAAGAGCAGAGCAGAUAGUUAUUUUUGGCGUAGAUUAAUGGUGUGUAUCAACGUUCUUUUUAUAGUACAAUGCAAUGUGUUUUUGCUUCAUCUUUCCCCUUUUCCUUGUUGUUUUUGCAGGUACUACAAGUGAGAAUAAUAAUAAUAAUAAUAAUGAUAAUAAUAAUAUACUAAUAAUAAUAAUAAUAAGGCCGCAGAGAAUCUUUGCGGGUUCAAACUGUGGUUCAAUUCAAAGCGGCUGGGGAAUGUUGGGAAAGGAUUAGCACCGGCAAAACAUAAUAUCAUUAGGAAAGGAUCUUUUGGAGAUUUGUUGGACAUCCAGCCCUUCAAAGUAUCCCAUGAGCUCAUUGAGUUUGUUGUGAUGCACACGAACCAUAUGUCACGUCAGUUCAGAUAUAAGAAUAAGGUCAUUAAUUUUAGCAGGCUCAUGGUGAAGAGGAUAUUCAACGUGCCAUCGGGUGACAGACCCGUGAAGCUCCUCAAAAAGAGUGAUCAAUGCAACCUUUGCAACAUUUACAAGAGGGGAACACGGUCCCAAUCGACCAUGCAAUUGAUUUGUUGAAAUCUUGCAGCGAGACUGAUGAGUUGAUGGUAGACAGGACAUGGAUUCUCAUUGCCUUGGCAACAAUCCUAUGUCCAGGCACUCAGGAUAUGAUCAACCUUGAAUACAUGGCUUCCCUUGAAGACAUGGCUUCGGUGCACGAGUUCGCUUGGGAUGAGCACUUGUUGGCAGCAACCAAUGAGGCACUUGGUUGCAGUGUUUCAAGAGAAGAAGCGAAUCCAGCAAACAAUGAAAAAUCCUCCAGAGUUUCAAAUUAGCUCGUGUCUACAUAUGCUAGCGGUAUGCAAUGUUUUCACAUGAACAACAACCAUUUCCCUUUUGCUGCAUGCACCGUAUAUAUGCUAUAGCACACACCAUUGUUUACCUAAUGUUUUUUUGCUCUAUAAUUUUUUAUCGCGGAUCAUAUAUAUCGAUCAUCUUGAUAUCCGUACUGGCCUUCCAAAUGAGCAUGCCAUUAACUAUUCUGUGCCGAGGAUCCGUUUUGCAUGUCAAAAGGAUUUCAAUUUGGUGGAUAAAGUGGAUAAGCACCACAUUACUUUAACCCUGACUUUCUAUGGGAAACAUACCCAAUUCCAGAGCUUGUCCAAUACGCCAUACCGCCCAACUGUUGUAGGCCAGGGAGUUGGUGAAGAAGUAGCUAGUGUCCAAGCAGUUGAGGCUAAAGCAGAUGGAGGGCAAGGAAGUGAAGCUCAAGCGGCUAAAGAUCAAGGAAAUGAUGCUCAUACAAAUGAUGAAGUUGAACUGAACCUGUCGGAAUCGCUCAACGAAUGGCUUCAACAAUCAUUCCAUAGCAUUCAAGAUAUGAGGGUGCCGACUCAGUUCCAAAUGUGUAUGAAAAGCACAAAGGGAUUUAUGCAGUGGAGGUUGAUGAUUCAGUAGGCAAGUUUUGGCAGGGCUUAAAGGGAUUGCAGUGCAAUGGGAUGGCCAAUUUGCUGCAUGAUGUAGGAGAUACCAUCGCAGCUAAUGACCAGCCUAGCCUUUCCUUCGCAGCGUCUACCAUGGAUGAAGGCCCCGAGAAAGAGAGGGAUGCUCAAGUUGUAGCUGUAGGCAUUGUGAUGAAUGAAGAUCAAGUCAUAGAGGGGCUGAAAGGGAACCAGGAUGUCACAACCGGUGUCGGUGACACACACGAGCAACAAGGGGCGAGUAUCGAGGUGAUAGGACAUGUGUCACCUCGCAGCCCUCCACUCUACUGUGAUGCACCUAGGAGCAUGACAGCUGGUAUACGAGAUGAUGUUCUAUCCUGCAAUCUGUUCCGAAAGGGAUCUAAAGACUAUGAGUGGAUGCAUUCCAUGGAUUACGAUGCAAACAAAAGGACGUACCACAGUCAAGCCCCUCUACCCGAACAUCUCCGUGUUUCAUGUCUCAGAUGACGAGAACCCCAUCCGCAGCCCUGCUAUCUCUACUCCUACGAUGCUCAUUAUAGACAAGAAAAGUGUUGAUGUGAGCACAGGCCCAAGCACGCACAACAAGAACACUAGGAGAAAGAGGAUGAUCAAAGCUCCUGCAAACUAACCCAAGGCAAAGAAGUAGAAGGUCGUGGAUGAAGUUGAAGCUUUGUAUGAGAAGUACAUUAUCCAUGGAAAGCCAUUGAGGAAGUCAAAAAAGGAUGAACUGGUGAAACCUUUUGUCAAGAUAGGGGGUUGUUACAUUGGAUACAGGAAAUUUCUUUCAUGCCUGAAGCCCUGUGGGAUUAUGAAUGAUGAGGUUAUGUCGCUAUGUAUCGAGAAGUUAGACCUCGCAGCUCUUGGGUCAAGUAAUACGGGCAUCAAAAAGAUCAACUUGUAAACGACCCGUCAAGUUUUUAGCCAAGAGUACCCAUACGUGUGCUUUAAAGGGUCGUCAAUAGGUACAAGAUUCAAAAGUUUGGCCUAGUAAGUCCCAGCGUCCCCUGCUACUUCUUGAGCUUGAAUUGGUUUUUUUCCUUGAAGAGGAAAGGGUGAUGUAGCAAAGUAGAGGUAACUAUUUCCCUCAGUUUGAGA